UUGGAGAGUUCAUUUUGGUGGACAAGGGUGUGAAGAUCAAAAAGAAUGGUAACAUCUACAGCCUGAACGAAGGCUACGCCAAGGACUUUGACCCUGCUGUCACUGAGUAUGUCAAGAGGAAAAAGUUCCCCCCAGAUAACUCAGCUCCCUAUGGUGCCCAGUACGUGGGCUCCAUGGUUCCGAUGUUCAACGCACUCUGGUCUAUGGUGGGAUCUUUCUGUACCCCGCUAACAAGAAGAGCCUCAGUGGAAAGCUGAGGCUGCUGUAUGAGUGUAACCCCAUGGCCUACAUCAUGGGGAAGGCGGGGGGCGUGGCUACCACUGGGAAGGAGGCGGUCCUAGACAUCCUUCCCACUGACAUCCACCAGAGGGCGCCAUUCAUCUUGGGGUCCCCGGAGAAGUGCAGGAGUUCCUGGAGGUUUACAAGCAGCACUCUGCCAAGUGAGGGGCUGGCCGCGCCCACUCCGGAAGGAGUGUCUUCCACGUGGACCUUUGUCUCUCAUUGUGCUCCCCUGUUCUGGAGGUGUGUCCGAAGUCCCUGGACAGCAGAAAUAAAAAACGUGGCGGUGCCUGGUGCUACAUAGCAAAAUGCUGUCUCCAUGAUGUCACUGGUGGGCAAGAUGUAUGUUGAGCG
This is a long non-coding RNA of Nycticebus coucang (slow loris), 633 nucleotides long. RefSeq lists it as uncharacterized. The record is from RefSeq and is a predicted model, not a curated record. The transcript is spliced from 3 exons. Lineage: Eukaryota; Metazoa; Chordata; Mammalia; Primates; Lorisidae.